RNAcentral lists this ribosomal RNA (213 nucleotides) under uncultured bacterium. RNAcentral describes it as "partial 16S ribosomal RNA". It matches the Rfam family "Bacterial small subunit ribosomal RNA", at positions 524 to 736 of the family's 1533-position model. The record is from RNAcentral.
UACGAAGGGUGCAAGCGGCAGUCGGAAUUACUGGGCGUAACGGGUGCGUAGGCGGCCUUUUAAGUCGGAUGUGAAAUCCCCGGGCUCAACCUGGGAAUGGCAUCCGAUACUGGGGGGCUAGAGUUUGGGAGAGGGUGGUGGAAUUCCGGGUGUAGCGGUGAAAUGCGUAGAGAUCGGGAGGAACAUCAGUGGCGAAGGCGGCCACCUGGCCUA